Molecule: ribosomal RNA, 468 nt
Filed under: uncultured bacterium
Lineage: Bacteria
Description: partial 16S ribosomal RNA
Rfam family: Bacterial small subunit ribosomal RNA
Source: RNAcentral
GACGAACGCUGGCGGCGUGCUUAACACAUGCAAGUCGAACGGAAAGGCCCUGCUUUUGUGGGGUGCUCGAGUGGCGAACGGGUGAGUAACACGUGAGUAACCUGCCCUUGACUUUGGGAUAACUUCAGGAAACUGGGGCUAAUACCGGAUAGGAGCUCCUGCUGCAUGGUGGGGGUUGGAAAGUUUCGGCGGUUAGGGAUGGACUCGCGGCUUAUCAGCUUGUUGGUGGGGUAGUGGCUUACCAAGGCUUUGACGGGUAGCCGGCCUGGGAGGGUGACCGGCCACAUUGGGACUGAGGUACGGCCCAGACUCCUACGGGAGGCAGCAGUGGGGAAUAUUGCACAAUGGGCGGAAGCCUGAUGCAGCAACGCCGCGUGCGGGAUGACGGCCUUCGGGUUGUAAACCGCUUUCGCCUGUGACGAAGCGUGAGUGACGGUAAUGGGUAAAGAAGCACCGGCUAACUACGUG